This 253-nucleotide ribosomal RNA is filed under the name uncultured bacterium. RNAcentral's name for it is "partial 16S ribosomal RNA". It matches the Rfam family "Bacterial small subunit ribosomal RNA", at positions 524 to 776 of the family's 1533-position model. The record is from RNAcentral.
UACAGAGGUCUCAAGCGUUGUUCGGAUUCACUGGGCGUAAAGGGUGCGUAGGCGGUGACGUAAGUCGGAUGUGAAAUCUCGGAGCUCAACUCCGAAACGGCAUUGGAAACUGCGUUGCUAGAGGGUUGGAGGGGGGACUGGAAUGCUUGGUGUAGCAGUGAAAUGCGUAGAUAUCAAGCGGAACACCAGUGGCGAAGGCGAGUCCCUGGACAACACCUGACACUGAGGCACGAAAGCUAGGGGAGCAAACAGG